Molecule: long non-coding RNA, 2490 nt
Organism: Acanthochromis polyacanthus (spiny chromis)
Lineage: Eukaryota; Metazoa; Chordata; Actinopteri; Pomacentridae
Exons: 2
Source: RefSeq, a predicted model, not a curated record
GCCUGCGGAAAUUAAGCGAUGUAACUGAUUUGCAGUCUGGGAUUGUGCUGUGGCGGCAGCGGCGGCGUGAUGUGGCGUCCUUUUUGUCCUUGUGCCAGAUGUCAGGAUGUGGUGAACGACUCAUUAGGAUGCCAACACGCCUCUGCACCGGCGCCAACACUUUUCAAAGCCUGGCGACCCCGUUACCGGGCUCCCGAGAACCAUCUCGCUGAGGCCCGUCUGGUCUGGAAUCGGUCCGACACUGAAGCGUUUGGAGAGCCGGAGCGAUGUGGGAUUAAAAGACAGCAGGUUUGGCCUCUGACCUCCAGCUUCCCUCCAUGUUUCCUCCUUUCAGCUCCUCUCUCGCCUCACGCUCUCCACAGGAAAUGUUUGUUGUCUUUACAUCGUCAGAAGCCCUCGUGGGGAAGCGAUGCUGACACAGACACUUUUAACUCUGGAGUUCAACGGACACCCGGCGACAGAGAGAAAGAAAGAUACCAGCAGAGCGCUGCGGGGUUUGUUCGAAGCCCGUUUAUAUGGAUGAUUAGGAGUCUAAACUACAAUAAAAAUAAAUAGCUGAUGCCUUAAACAUCACUGAACAUAUCUCAAUCCAUCCUCAGCAAAAAUGUGAACGUUACGACUCCAUAAACGAAUGCGGCGGAGCUAUGUGACGAUCAGUGUUGGUUUGUUUGUCUGUUUGUCUCUCUGUGUGCAACAUUACUCCAAAACAGACGAACGGAUUUGGAUGAAACUUUCAGGGAAGGUCAGAAAUGACACAAGGACCAAAUGAUCAGAUUUUGGCAUUGAUGCGGCUUAUAGUCUGGAUCCAUGGAUUUGUUAAAGAUUUCGGAAUCAUUGCGAGAUAGCGGCAUGGCGUCACUGUAACCAUGACAACAAGUGAACACUACAUCAGCUGCCUGUUGAUCACAUGAUUGUGAUCCUACUACAAAUCCACCACCGUGGACUUAUCAGGACUUAUUCGUCAGGAAUGAUAAAAGGAACAAUUGUUUCUGAGUCCCAUCAUUUCCUGCCCCCCGCUACAUAUUUAGGUCACGUGAUUUGAUAUCUGUGCACAACGUACACAUGCAUAACACACGCCUGUGCUCAGCAAAAGGUCAUUUUGUUGGUACAUCCAUAUUAAGUGACCACCAUCUACGUUAUCGUGAUUUUUGCCACGAAUUUUUUCAAGAUUUCAUCCUUCAAAAAUGAUACGACUGAGCAGCCUUGGAGGAGUGCUUUUCUUCUUACUAGUAGUAGUAGCUUUUAUAAAAUUCCUCACUGACUUUCACUCAUAAAUUGCUGUUGUUAUGUUUUGGAGGAACAUCUAAAUCCAGUGCAACCAGUAAUUCCAAUUGUUACUUCAUUGAUUUUUAUAUUUCUUUCAUCUAAAUAUAGGAAAAUAUUAUUAGACACUAAAGCUCUCACAUACAGAUUUUCUUCCACUGUUUAAACUCUUUUAUUCUUAACAUUUAGUGUAAAAAUCAGACAAAUAUACGUAUAAACAGCCGUGACGUUAACGUUCCUCCACACUGCUGGAACAGAGUCGGUGUGUGUGAUGGAGGCUGCGUUUAGUCUGAAUUCGUGCGUCGCCGUUUCACACAUUUUUGUUAUUCUCCUCGGCGAGCGGCACUCGGCCAGCAUCUGAAAAACGGACAAUGUGAGGCAGGAGAGGAAAUCCCACCCAGUGUUUGUCCACUCACCGUGUCUUUGUCGUCUUCCUGCCUCGGCACAAACACAACAAGGUGCCCUCUGCGCUUUAUUGCAGCGUUUUAAUGCUCUCUGGAGGAGUGCGGAAUUUUAAGAGCGGCAUUUUUUUUUUAACAAAUAGAAAAAAGGCGAUUCUUUUUCUGCUCUGACAGUAACGACAUGAACUCCUGCUAAACUAUUAAUAGGAGGAGCCUGUAGGAUGAAAUGAAACUCUCUGGAGCAGGAAAGGAUCAUUUUCUCCAAAAGAGACGGAGACUUAUUUCAGAAUUUAUUCUUCAGUUAUCAGACAAAAUGAGCAGCAAAUGCUCUGGAUUUAUUCAUCUAUAGCAGGGGUCAUUUCAGCCCAAUUUGAUCUCUAGUGAGCAGUAAAAUCACGUCAUAAUAGCCUAUAAACAAGCACAACGCCAAAGGUUUCCCUUUGUUUUAGUGCACAGAAGCACAAUUCUGAAAAUAUUUACAUUUACAACACUUUAUUAUUACAUGUAACUUAGAUAUUUUGGGUUUUUUUGCUUAAUUUUUGCUGAUUUUAAAGUGAAUACUGCAGAAAUGUGAUUGAUUUUUUAAAUAUUUCUUUCAGGUAAAUAUAUGAAAAAGGUAUACGCAUCAUUUUGAAUGUGUACCAUCAAGAAAUUUAAAAGUAAGUCACAUUUCUGCAGCAUACACUUAAAAAAAAACAACCAAAAUGUUGCGUAUAUUUGACAUUUUUGCUUCAAAAAUGCAGAAAUGUGAUUGUCUUUUAUAUUUCUUGAAGUAUAUGUCUUGCUUUGGUGUGACAAUAAAUUAAAUCUUGCUGAUAAAACAACA